Molecule: ribosomal RNA, 427 nt
Filed under: uncultured bacterium
Lineage: Bacteria
Description: partial 16S ribosomal RNA
Rfam family: Bacterial small subunit ribosomal RNA
Source: RNAcentral
UGGGGAAUAUUGGACAAUGGGCGAAAGCCUGAUCCAGCCAUGCCGCGUGUGUGAAGAAGGUCUUCGGAUUGUAAAGCACUUUAAGUUGGGAGGAAGGGCAUUAACCUAAUACGUUAGUGUUUUGACGUUAACGACAGAAUAAGCACCGGCUAACUCUGUGCCAGCAGCCGCGGUAAUACAGAGGGUGCAAGCGUUAAUCGGAAUUACUGGGCGUAAAGCGCGCGUAGGUGGUUUGUUAAGUUGGAUGUGAAAUCCCCGGGCUCAACCUGGGAACUGCAUUCAAAACUGACUGACUAGAGUAUGGUAGAGGGUGGUGGAAUUUCCUGUGUAGCGGUGAAAUGCGUAGAUAUAGGAAGGAACACCAGUGGCGAAGGCGACCACCUGGACUAAUACUGACACUGAGGUGCGAAAGCGUGGGGAGCAAACA